AUGGCUCCGGCGCGGCCCCGUCCCGGCGUGUGCCGCAGCCCCCGCCCCGCGCCCCCAGCCCGGCUCUGCCCUGCCCUGCCCUGCCCCCGCCUCGCCAUCCCCGCGGCUCCGCUCCGCGCCGGCUCCUGCGAGCAAAGUUUGCAGCGCAGCCCCGCUGGGGGUGCCCCCCCCUCCGUGCGGCGGGGCUGCACCGCCUGGGGGGGGGACGGGGACACCGGGGGGGGCCGGCUGCCGGCUCGGCUCGGCCUGGCCUCCCCUCCCCUCCGUGCCCCCGGCCCCGCCGCCAGGCCGCGGAGGGCAGCGGGGGCACGGCCAGGGCAGGGCCGGUUCGGCUCCGCCGCGCACCCCCGGCUCGCCCCGAUCCGACCCGACCCGGCCCGGCUCGGCUCGGGGGCGGUCACGCCGGGCUCGCCCCGGUCAUUGUGUGCAGGAGGCUGCGGCCGCCCCCCCGCAGCCGCCGGUGGCACGGCCCCGCCGCUUUGUAAGGCGCCGCUUUGUGCCUCCGAGCCCCCCCCCCCCGGCCCCCGCUCACCUUCCCCGCGGGCGGCGGGGCCGCUCCAUGGGGCGGCGGGGGCAGAGCCUGGGGCAGAGCCCGCGGCGCUGCCCGGCGGGGCUGGGGCCGAGGCCGGGAGCGGGGCCGGGCGCGGUGCAGUGAGCGGGGCUGCCACUGGGGUCAGGGAGCAGGCACCAGGAAACACGGCGGCCACGGAGCGCUGCUCGCACGCACACACACACACACACACACACACACGACGCGGCUCCUCCCGCCGCCUUGCACUUCACCCCCCCGGGCAGGGAGGCAGGCAGGCAGGGAGGAAUCGCUGCUGCAUUUCGUCUCCCAAGUGCGGCAGAGCCUCCCCCCGCCCAGCCCGGCCGCACAGGCCGCCCCGAGCAGCGGCCGGGCGCGGAGCCGCAGCCCCGGGGCUCGACCCCAGCCUCAGCCCGGGCAGAGGGGGCCGGGGGGCGAUGUGUAGGGGUGAGGGGAGCGGCCCCACAGCCCCCGCGGGGCUCCAGGCGGGCAGCGCCUCCCCGCAGCCGGCUCCUGCGGUGGCUGAGCCAACCCCCGCCGGGAGGGAAAAAGCAGCGCACAGCAGCGGUACCCGGAGUACCCUUUGGGAUGAGGCACUCCUGCAAGCACUACAUCCUGAGGAAGAAACCAUGGCCUCUCCACAGAAGCGCCCCAGCUUUUUCAGAAAAAGGACAAUUCUCUUAAGGAAGUGCAACUGCAGCCUUCUGUCAGAAAUCUGCAGCCAGAGAGGAACACAUCAUUAUAAUGCUGAUAGAGCAUCAAGUAAGACUACUGAAGGAAAUAUCAUCAGUUGUCCUCUGGGCAUUCUUUUUAUAUUCGAUGGACCAGAACAUUGUCACAGGAUAAUGGUUGUCUGCCGCCUUGCCCCUAUUAAAUUAAAUUAA
Molecule: long non-coding RNA, 1413 nt
Filed under: Cairina moschata (Muscovy duck)
Lineage: Eukaryota; Metazoa; Chordata; Aves; Anseriformes; Anatidae
Description: domestica (muscovy Duck (domestic type)) lncRNA (ENSCMMG00000008089.1)
Source: RNAcentral